Non-coding RNA from Malus domestica (apple), 350 nucleotides. The record is from RefSeq and is a predicted model, not a curated record. NCBI's taxonomy places the organism in Eukaryota, Viridiplantae, Streptophyta, Magnoliopsida, Rosales, Rosaceae.
AGGACGUGGAAGUCAGAUCUUUGGUGGAUGAUGGCCGGUGGAUCCACAUCAGAUAGGCUGAUAUCAAUGAAGGAUGUGCACAUUUCUUCCAUCGAAAAAGGAGAAGUUUGGUUACGACGUGAAGCUGAAUCAGGUGCACUGGUUGCCUUGAGUGUACUUUGUACAAGAAAUACGAGGGUACAAGUUGUUGAAAGCCAAUAUGCCAGAUCAUCGAUAUUGUUCUGACUCUUAAAAGACAUUUCACAUCUCACUUUGAUCAAAUAGUAUGCAUAUCAAGUUGAUCAUGUUUAAUAUAUAUGUAUAUAUGUAUAUAUGUCGGUUGAAGAAUGAAGGCUAUUACCUCUACCAUA